UGGUGGAGUGAUUUGUCUGGUUAAUUCCGUUAACGAACGAGACCUCGACCUGCUAAAUAGUUCGGCGAAUUCCUCGGGAUUCGUACUGACUUCUUAGAGGGACUAUCGGUGCUUAGCCGAUGGAAGUUCGAGGCAAUAACA
Molecule: ribosomal RNA, 141 nt
Filed under: uncultured eukaryote
Lineage: Eukaryota
Description: partial 18S ribosomal RNA
Rfam family: Eukaryotic small subunit ribosomal RNA
Source: RNAcentral